GGAUGCGAUCAUACCAGCACUAAAGCACCGGAUCCCAUCAAAACUCCGAAGCUAAGCGUGCUUGGGCGAGAGUAGUACUAGGAUGGGUGACCUCCUGGGAAGUCCUCGUGUUGCAUUCCC
This 120-nucleotide ribosomal RNA is filed under the name Triticum aestivum (bread wheat). The record is from RNAcentral. Lineage: Eukaryota; Viridiplantae; Streptophyta; Magnoliopsida; Poales; Poaceae.